RNAcentral lists this ribosomal RNA (407 nucleotides) under uncultured bacterium. RNAcentral's name for it is "partial 16S ribosomal RNA". It matches the Rfam family "Bacterial small subunit ribosomal RNA", at positions 30 to 526 of the family's 1533-position model. The record is from RNAcentral.
AUUGAACGCUGGCGGCAGGCCUAACACAUGCAAGUCGAGCGGCGAGGCGGACGGGUGAGUAAUGCCUAGUAAUCAGCAUGGGAGUGAGGGAUGACGUCCGGAAACGGACGCUAAUACCGCAUACUAUCAGAUGAGCCUAGGUCGGAUUAGCUAGAUGGUGGGGGAAAGGCCUACCAAGGCGACGAUCCGUAACUGGUCUGAGGGGAUGAUCAGUCACACUGGAACUGAGACACGGUCCAGACUCCUACGGGAGGCAGCAGUGGGGAAUAUUGGACAAUGGGCGAAAGCCUGAUCCAGCCAUGCCGCGUGUGUGAAGAAGGUCUUCGGAUUGUAAAGCACUUUAAGUUGGGAGGCGUUACCAACAGAAUAAGCACCGGCUAACUCCGUGCCAGCAGCCGCGGUAAUAC